This 400-nucleotide unclassified non-coding RNA is filed under the name Hevea brasiliensis (rubber tree). The record is from RNAcentral. Lineage: Eukaryota; Viridiplantae; Streptophyta; Magnoliopsida; Malpighiales; Euphorbiaceae.
AUAUUAGAAACAAACAAUUCAUAGGUAAUCUUCAUCUGCCAAUUUUUAGGCAACUGUCAUUUAGUAGUUGAUCAUUAUUGCUGGUCUCAUAACCUUCUUGUCAACAGUCUAAAAUUAUUGUAGUAGAUGCAUUGAACCACUUUUGUGAUUAGCUUAUGCGGUCAAGAACCAACAAAAUGUUUGUUAUGUUUCAAUUUUCUUUGGACAAAGCCCCUCCUAAAGGGGUUAGCUAUGAGAUGCAAAUCUCUUUUGUAGUCACAGAUAUUGAACCUAUUUUUGGGCCCUCACCUACAAAGCUUGAGGUUGUAGGUUUAAGAUCUUUACUAUAAGAUCUAGGCUGUUUUAUUGCUUUGAAAAGGUACUGCUUCACCCUGUGCUGACUUUAUUCUUAUUCUAAUUG